RNAcentral lists this ribosomal RNA (120 nucleotides) under uncultured bacterium. Its description in RNAcentral is "partial 16S ribosomal RNA". It matches the Rfam family "Bacterial small subunit ribosomal RNA", at positions 28 to 150 of the family's 1533-position model. The record is from RNAcentral.
GAUGAACGCUAGCGGCAGGCCUAACACAUGCAAGUCGAGGGGUAGGAGACUUCGGUUUCUGAGACCGGCGCACGGGUGCGUAACACGUAUGCAAUCUACCUUGUACAGAGGGAUAGCCCG